AGAGAAGAGAGGAGAAAGAGCAGAGAGCGAGAGGAGAGCGAGGUGUGGAGAAUCCGAGGGGGAGAGAACCCGAGUGUGUGUGUGCGUGUGCGCGUGUGAGCGCGAGCGAGCUUGCGAGGGAGAAGAACGAGAGAGUGCGAGCGAGAAAGAAUAAAAGGAAAGAAGAUUUUCUCUAUGUAUAUAAAGAUGGCCACGUUAGCAAACGGACAGGCUGACAACGCGAGCCUCAGUACCAACGGGCUCGGCAGCAGCCCGGGCAGCGCUGGGCACAUGAACGGAUUAAGCCACAGCCCGGGGAACCCGUCGACCAUUCCCAUGAAGGACCACGAUGCCAUCAAGCUGUUCAUUGGGCAGAUUCCUCGCAACCUGGAUGAGAAGGACCUCAAGCCCCUUUUCGAGGAGUUCGGCAAGAUCUACGAGCUUACGGUUCUGAAGGACAGGUUCACAGGCAUGCACAAAGGCUGCGCUUUCCUCACCUACUGCGAGCGUGAGUCAGCGCUGAAGGCCCAGAGCGCGCUGCACGAGCAGAAGACUCUGCCCGGGAUGAACCGGCCCAUCCAGGUGAAGCCAGCGGACAGCGAGAGUCGAGGAGGUAGUAGCUGCCUGCGCCAGCCCCCUUCACAAGAUAGAAAACUUUUCGUGGGCAUGCUCAACAAGCAGCAGUCGGAAGACGACGUGCGCCGCCUCUUCGAGGCCUUCGGGAACAUUGAGGAGUGCACCAUCCUGCGUGGGCCCGACGGCAACAGCAAGGGGUGCGCCUUCGUGAAGUACUCCUCCCACGCCGAGGCGCAGGCCGCAAUCAACGCUCUGCACGGCAGCCAGACCAUGCCGGGAGCCUCAUCCAGUCUGGUGGUCAAGUUCGCGGACACCGACAAGGAGCGCACGAUGCGGCGAAUGCAGCAGAUGGCCGGCCAGAUGGGCAUGUUCAAUCCCAUGGCCAUCCCGUUUGGGGCUUACGGCGCCUACGCACAGGCACUGAUGCAGCAGCAAGCAGCACUAAUGGCAUCAGUAGCUCAGGGCGGUUACCUGAACCCCAUGGCUGCCUUCGCCGCUGCCCAGAUGCAGCAGAUGGCGGCCCUCAACAUGAAUGGCCUGGCAGCUGCACCCAUGACCCCAACCUCAGCAGGUGGCAGCACCCCUCCGGGCAUUACUGCACCAGCCGUGCCUAGCAUCCCAUCCCCCAUUGGGGUGAAUGGCUUCACCGGCCUCCCCCCACAGGCCAAUGGGCAACCUGCUGCGGAGGCUGUGUUUGCCAAUGGCAUCCACCCCUACCCAGCACAGAGCCCCACGGCCGCGGACCCCCUGCAGCAGGCCUACGCUGGAGUGCAGCAGUAUGCAGGUCCAGCUGCCUACCCUGCUGCCUAUGGUCAGAUAAGCCAGGCCUUUCCUCAGCCACCUCCAAUGAUCCCCCAGCAACAGAGAGAAGGGCCCGAGGGCUGUAACCUGUUCAUCUACCAUCUGCCCCAGGAGUUUGGGGACGCUGAGCUGAUGCAGAUGUUCCUCCCUUUCGGUAAUGUCAUCUCCUCGAAAGUGUUUGUGGAUCGGGCGACUAACCAAAGUAAAUGCUUUGGCUUCGUGAGCUUCGACAACCCAGCCAGCGCGCAGACCGCCAUCCAGGCCAUGAACGGCUUCCAGAUCGGCAUGAAGAGGCUCAAGGUGCAGCUGAAGAGGCCCAAAGACGCCAAUCGCCCGUACUGAGCGCCGGCGGGAGCGUCCCCCGGGGGAGACCAGGACUCGCACAGGGCCAGUCAAAUCCACCACAGUCUCGCGCUGAGCUAGGAAUAAAGUUCACGUAAUCACAUGAGAGUGGAGAAAACAGUCCCCCAUCCGGCAGGAUGCUGAACGGGCUACAUUAAAAAACAAACCUCUCUCUAUAUAUAUUUAUAAAUGAGAACUGUUGGAUGACACCUUUGACAUAUCAGCCAAUAUCAAUCAAGCUGAAGACUCCAGACACUCUCUGUGACUGUAACAUUUCUUCAAGGAAAGUAUAGCGUCUGUGGAGUUCAGAGGGCACGUGUUUGGGGGGAAAGUAUAUAUGAUAUAAAAAGAAGAUGACGAUGAAGAAGAAAAAUGAGAAAACACAAAAAAGGCAACUUUAAAACAAAAUAACUUGAGACCAGAUGGGGAGGCCAAAGGGCUGGGAGCUGGGAAGAGACGCUGCUUACCGAUCCCAGGGCUUUUCCAGCCCGUGGGUGCCUGAGGCAGGCUGGGGCAAGCGGUGUGGCGAGGCCUGGUCCCCAGGGGGUGGCUGGGAAGCCGCCACUGAGCAUCUCUAUCUGUCAUUCCUUUAGCUAUUUAGGGACCAAAGGACCAAACUUUUUAUGGCAGAUGUGUAGCUCUGUCAAAUAGAGGGGGAUGGGGGAGAGCCUCCUUCCUGCCUCAUAGCUGUUCUUGAAACAGCUUAGAGCGAUUCUAUGAAAAAUGUAAUUAAAAAAAAAAUACAAAAAGACAAAAAAAAAAGAAAAGAAAAAUAAUGCUUCAAUGCUUUUAAAACAGCAAGAUAAUAGUUCUUUGAUACUUUGAGAGGCGCUUUGAUUACCCUCAUUCAAGUCUAUGACACUUUCCUAUGGUUUUCUGUAUUAUAUGUCUGGAUGGAGCUGUUAAGAUGAACAAAUUGGUGGAUAUUUGGGGGAAGUAACAAAAAUAUUAAAACAUUAACCAUGGAGUCUGAGAAAACGAGGGGAAAAAAGGGACUUACAAGGCAAGAUAAUUGUUGUGGAAAGUCUGUAAAUGCUUCUAACUCUUCCCCCUCUUAAAAUCAUAAUAGUUGUACAGAAUUUUAAAAAGGAGAAGUUUAAAAUACCUAUAUAAUAGAAGAAAAAUUAGAGGAAAGCAAAAAAAUUUUAAAAAAAGGAAAAAAAAAACCCUAUAGAAGUUAGCGUUACUGCUAAAAUCCCAGAUGUUGUAGGACUGUACUUUUGUAGAGUUUAGACUGAGCAUCAAUCCCUUCUUCCCGCGAGUGCUGUCGGGCGCCGUCGAGCCUGAGGGCCCGGCCGGACUGGCCCAGACCUGUGGGCUCCGGGCCGCCCAUCGACGCCGCCGGAAGGCCCGCCAUCGCCACCCUCGCCUCGCUUCGCUCCGGGAGCUGCGCGCGCUCGCCCGCCCGCUCUCCGCAAGCCCUUGACACCUGCUUCACUCGCCUUCCAUGCUUGCUCCAGAGACUUUCCGGGCAAGGGAGACCUGGGAACUUUCAUCUUAAAACAACUAAACAACACACACACACACACAAAAACCUUAAACAAGAAAGAGAGAGAGAGAAAAAAAAAUCUUUGAAGAAUUUCUGAAACUGUUUACAAGGAAUUUUGAAAAACAGGGAUGUUUAAAUGAUGCCGGCUCUGUUUUUCUGUAAAUAAAUUUGCAUAUUUUGUAGGACUUUUAAUUGUAAUGAUAGAGAAAAAAACAAGGAAAACUAUUUAAU
Non-coding RNA from Manis javanica (Malayan pangolin), 3418 nucleotides. The record is from RefSeq and is a predicted model, not a curated record. NCBI's taxonomy places the organism in Eukaryota, Metazoa, Chordata, Mammalia, Pholidota, Manidae.